AACGAACGCUGGCGGCAUGCCUAACACAUGCAAGUCGAACGGCAGCACGGACUUCGGUCUGGUGGCGAGUGGCGAACGGGUGAGUAAUGUAUCGGAACGUGCCCAGUCGUGGGGGAUAACGUAGUGAAAAUUACGCUAAUACCGCAUACGAUCUAUGGAUGAAAGCGGGGGAUCGCAAGACCUCGCGCGAUUGGAGCGGCCGAUAUCAGAUUAGGUAGUUGGUGGGGUAAAGGCCCACCAAGCCAACGAUCUGUAGCUGGUCUGAGAGGACGACCAGCCACACUGGAAAUGAGACACGGUCCAGACUCCUACGGGAGGCAGCAGUGGGGAAUUUUGGACAAUGGGCGAAAGCCUGAUCCAGCCAUUCCGCGUGCAGGAUGAAGGCCCGCGGGUUGUAAACUGCUUUUGUACAGAACGAAAAGGUUUCUACUAAUACUAGGAGCUCAUGACGGUACUGUAAGAAUAAGCACCGGCUAACUACGUGCCAGCCGCCGCCGUAA
This 500-nucleotide ribosomal RNA is filed under the name uncultured bacterium. RNAcentral's name for it is "partial 16S ribosomal RNA". It matches the Rfam family "Bacterial small subunit ribosomal RNA", at positions 29 to 523 of the family's 1533-position model. The record is from RNAcentral.